GAGUAGAUCUAUUGUUGAGAGGAACCAUAGGAUAGGAUGAAAAGGGGUUGGGGUUGGGUGUUUGAUGAGUUCAGAGGGAGGUGGGCCGCAUCUGGAGGCGCGGUUUAGAAGUGUCGCAACUCAGAGUCGCGGUUGAGGGGUGCCGCACCUGGGAGGUGCGGCUGUGCGUAACCGCAUUUGGGAGAUGCAGAUAUGGUUAGCCGCAGUUGGGAGACGCGGCAAACAAGCUGCGGCAGAGGGGGUGCGUUGCGAGUUGCGAGUUGCGGCAGAGGAAGGUGAGUUGCGGCAGAGGGAGAGGGAGGUGAGUUGCGG
Molecule: long non-coding RNA, 312 nt
Filed under: Vigna radiata
Lineage: Eukaryota; Viridiplantae; Streptophyta; Magnoliopsida; Fabales; Fabaceae
Description: long non-coding RNA (VRAD_LNC000059)
Source: RNAcentral